RNAcentral lists this ribosomal RNA (512 nucleotides) under uncultured bacterium. Its description in RNAcentral is "bacterial SSU rRNA". It matches the Rfam family "Archaeal small subunit ribosomal RNA", at positions 323 to 834 of the family's 1478-position model. The record is from RNAcentral.
CGAUUACGGGGCGCUGCAGGCGCGAAAACUCUGCAAUAAGCGAAAGCUUGACAGGGUUAUUCUGAGUGAUUUCCGCUAAGGAAAUCUUUUGGCACCUCUAAAAAUGGUGCAGAAUAAGGGGUGGGCAAGCCUGGUGUCAGCCGCCGCGGUGAUACCAGCACCCCGAGUGGUCGGGACGAUUAUUGGGCCUAAAGCAUCCGUAGCCGGUUCUACAAGUCUUCCGUUAAAUCCACCUGCUCAACAGUUGGGCUGCGGAGGAUACUAUAGAGCUAGGAGGCGGGAGAGGCAAGCGGUACUCAGUGGGUAGGGGUAAAAUCCGUUGAUCCAUUGAAGACCACCAGUGGCGAAGGCGGCUUGCCAGAACGCACUCGACGGUGAGGGAUGAAAGCUGGGGGAGCAAACCGGAUUAGAUACCCGGGUAGUCCCAGCUGUAAACGAUGCAGACUCGGUGAUGAAUAGGCUUCGUGCCUAUUCAGUGCCGCAGGGAAGCCGUUAAGUCUGCCGCCUGGGGA